ACUCAAAGGAAUAGACGGGGCCCCGCACAAGCGGCGGAGCAUGCGGAUUAAUUCGAUGCAACGCGAAGAACCUUACCUGGGCUUGAAAUAUGCGGAAAUCCUGCAGAGAUGUAGGGUCGGUUCGUCCGGUCGCAUACAGGUGGUGCAUGGUUGUCGUCAGCUCGUGUCGUGAGAUGUUGGGUUAAGUCCCGCAACGAGCGCAACCCUCGCCUCAUGUUGCCAGCACGUAAUGGUGGGGACUCAUGAGGGACUGCCGGGGUCAACUCGGAGGAAGGUGGGGAUGACGUCAAAUCAUCAUGCCCCUUAUGUCCAGGGCUUCACGCAUGCUACAAUGGCCGGUACAAAGGGUUGCGAUAUCGCGAGGUGGAGCUAAUCCCAUAAAGCCGGUCUCAGUUCGGAUCGGAGUCUGCAACUCGACUCCGUGAAGGUGGAGUCGCUAGUAAUCGCAGAUCAGCAACGCUGCGGUGAAUACGUUCCCGGGGCUUGCACACACCGCCCGU
This 500-nucleotide ribosomal RNA is filed under the name uncultured bacterium. RNAcentral's name for it is "bacterial SSU rRNA". It matches the Rfam family "Bacterial small subunit ribosomal RNA", at positions 899 to 1397 of the family's 1533-position model. The record is from RNAcentral.